GUCUCUGUGGUGCAAUUGUGCAUUAGGCUGUUAACCGAAAGGUUGGUGGUUCAAGCCCACCCAGGGAUG
This 69-nucleotide transfer RNA is filed under the name Callithrix jacchus (white-tufted-ear marmoset). It matches the Rfam family "tRNA". From Rfam's summary of the family: Transfer RNA (tRNA) molecules are approximately 80 nucleotides in length. Their secondary structure includes four short double-helical elements and three loops (D, anti-codon, and T loops). The record is from Rfam by way of RNAcentral. Lineage: Eukaryota; Metazoa; Chordata; Mammalia; Primates; Cebidae.